This is a long non-coding RNA of Physeter macrocephalus (sperm whale), 539 nucleotides long. RefSeq lists it as uncharacterized. The record is from RefSeq and is a predicted model, not a curated record. The transcript is spliced from 3 exons. Lineage: Eukaryota; Metazoa; Chordata; Mammalia; Artiodactyla; Physeteridae.
CCGCCUCCCAUGGGGACCCGGCCUGAGGAGCAGGGGAGGGAGCUUCGAGACUAAGGCCGUGCGAGAACAUCUGGUGUGUUCUAGCUUCCCUGAACAUGGUGAGCAACAGCUGCCUCCCCACAGCACCUCUGGGAUCCUCUGACAAGCCAGAUCCAUGCCUGGCUCAAGAAUGGCUUCCCUGCAGGUACCUGACCUGGGAGGGACAUGGCUACUGGGCAGUACAAGACGCGGACUCUCCUCCUUCAGGGUUCUGGAUGCUCACCUAUGGAACCCAGCCACCAUUUUGUGAGGAAGCCCAGGACACAUGAAGAGACCACAGGCUGAUUUUCUGGCUGACAGCCCCAGCUAAGGUUCCAGCCCACGGCUAGUAUUAAUAACCAGUCAUGUAAAUGAAGAGGCCUUCAGGUGACUCCAGUCUCAGCCUUUGAGCUGUACUAGCUGGUGCUGAGACGAACUGUUUCCAUUGAUCCCUGUCCAAAUUGCAGAUUCAUGAGCAAAAUAAAUGUGGAUGCUGUUUUAACCCACCGGGUUUUAGCAUA